Molecule: long non-coding RNA, 1288 nt
Organism: Macaca mulatta (Rhesus monkey)
Lineage: Eukaryota; Metazoa; Chordata; Mammalia; Primates; Cercopithecidae
Source: RefSeq, a predicted model, not a curated record
CAAGUUGCAUCCCCAAAUGCGAGGCUGGCCUGACCAAAAAGAGCCACUCGGCGCCCGGGAGAGGCGAGACUCGCGCUCGGGUUCUCAAUCCUUCUCUUUUCUCCUUUCUUUUUCCCUUUCUCCUCUCCGGUUCCUGAUUUAGCUGGGAGCUGUUUAUUUAUGGCUGCAAAUGUGUGUGUGCAAGAGAGAGAGGGAAUUGAUCUUUGCCUGGACUUAAAGAUGGAGCCGAAGGAGCUGGAGGGAAUUUGGGCUUGUGCGUCUGGCCCAGACCCUGCGCGCCUAGAGGGGCCAUUGGGCGCCGAGCCUGACGUCUAUCCUCCCCGCACCUCUCACCCCGCGACCUUGCGGGAAUCCGCGGGCCCGGAUGCUGCCCGUCUGACCCUCCUGCCCCAGGCCCCGGCUGCAGAGAAAGUCUUCGGGCAGGAGGCCAUCCUGUCUCUGUCUUUAAAAUGAGCACAAUAAAAGGGGGCAAAUCCUCGAACGCGAACCUGAUCUCAUGUCACAGAAGCAACUUGCCAUGAAAUCCGCUAAUGCGCCGCGACUCGCCCACCAGGAUAAAUAACCCCAUCGUCCGUGUAAUUAGCCCGUUCCCAAUGAAGUCAUUUUCCUCGAAUGCACUCUCUGCUUGCCACACUGGAGGAAUCCAGCCCACAGAGGUUUCGGAAACCCAGUUUGAGUGAUUCCAGCCUAGACUGAAACCCUGCGAACCUCCCAGGAAAGAGAGCCCGGCCCGGGCCAAGCAGUCGGACACACACACACACACACACACACACACACACACACACCCCCCGACGGUGUAGCUCUUCACAGGAUGGAAGGCUGGAUACGGAUCUGGGAGGCUGUGGCUAAGCGAACCAGGAAGACUGUGAGGGAAACCAAUACAGCAGUGUCAUCUUGAAAGUUAUUUGGAAGAACAGGACCUGGAGUCUGGGUUUGAAUCAAAAAAUUAUGAGCAAGGGACAGAUUACCCAGUAUUUCUUUGGAGCCAGACAGAACUGAGACCUGCCCAGCUGAACCAGCUUGGUUUGGAUUAGGAAAUUAUUCUCAGACACAGUAGCACACACAUCCUCUGACAGCGAGCUCACUCCUGGGCAGUGGGCUUCUGGCUCUGCCACUGCUCUCCACAACCACCCUACAGGCCUCCUCCAGGUUUUGCCAGGCAAAUGAAACGAGCGGAACUCGAUAGUAAAUUAUUUUGUUCAGCUUUCUCUCUUUUUAUGAAAAUAAAAGGCAACACUUUGUCAUUUUUAAUCACAUAAGCAGAAAAUAAAUCUAAUUUUGAUAUUGA